This 616-nucleotide ribosomal RNA is filed under the name Marquesius aquaticus. RNAcentral's name for it is "LSU rRNA". It matches the Rfam family "Eukaryotic large subunit ribosomal RNA", at positions 23 to 667 of the family's 3401-position model. Lineage: Eukaryota; Fungi; Ascomycota; Dothideomycetes. The record is from RNAcentral.
ACCCGCUGAACUUAAGCAUAUCAAUAAGCGGAGGAAAAGAAACCAACGGGGAUUGCCUCAGUAACGGCGAGUGAAGCGGCACCAGCUCAGAUUUGAAAUCUGGCCCCAGGCCCGAGUUGUAAUCUGCAGAGGAUGCUCCGGCGAAGGCCCCGGCCCAAGUCCCCUGGAACGGGACGUCCUAGAGGGUGAGAACCCCGUCAGGCCGCGGGCCCCAGCCUUGUGUUGCUCCUUCGACGAGUCGAGUUGUUUGGGAAUGCAGCUCUAAACGGGUGGUAAAUUCCAUCUAAAGCUAAAUACCGGCCAGAGACCGAUAGCGCACAAGUAGAGUGAUCGAAAGAUGAAAAGCACUUUGAAAAGAGAGUCAAACAGCACGUGAAAUUGUUGAAAGGGAAGCGCUUGCGGCCAGACCCGCCCGUGGUUGCUCGACCGGCCUUCGGCCGGCUCACUCUCCCACGGUAGGGCCAGCAUCGGUUGGGGCGGCCGGAUAAAGGCCCGGGGAACGUGGCCCUUCGGGGCGUUAUAGCCCCGGGUGCAAUGCGGCCAGCCCCGACCGAGGGAAGCGUUCGCUAGGAUGCUGGCGUAAUGGCCUCAAGCGGCCCGUCUUGAAACACGGACC